Pelobates fuscus (common spadefoot toad) is the source of this 928-nucleotide long non-coding RNA. RefSeq lists it as uncharacterized. The transcript has 2 exons. The record is from RefSeq and is a predicted model, not a curated record. NCBI's taxonomy places the organism in Eukaryota, Metazoa, Chordata, Amphibia, Anura, Pelobatidae.
UGAGGUAGACCUAAUGAGCAUUGAGGUCGGUAUCUGUUGAGGUAGAUGUGAUGAGCAUUGAGGUCGGUAUCUGUUGAGGUAGACGUGAUGAGCAUUGAGGUCGGUAUCUGUUGAGGUAGACCUAAUGAGCAUUGAGGUCGGUAUCUGUUGAGGUAGAAGUGAUGAGCAUUGAGGUCGGUAUCUGUUGAGGUAGACCUAAUGAGCAUUGAGGUCGGUAUCUGUUGAGGUAGACCUAAUGAGCAUUGAGGUCGGUAUCUGUUGAGGUAGAUGUAAUGAGAAUUGAGGUCGGUAUCUGUUGAGGUAGACGUGAUGAGCAUUGAGGUCGGUAUCUGUUGAGGUAGACGUGAUGAACACUUAGAAACAAUGAUGCUAUUGGUCGCAUCAUUAUUGCCAAAAGUUGGUAGAUCAUUUCUGUUAAAAGAUACUGACAGAUUUUCUUGCUCAUAUCCUACCUUUAUUUAAGCACAUCUGGAGUUGGAUAUAAAGGAGGAGACUGACUGACUCACCAUGGAAAAAGUUCUUAUGGUCAGAUGAGACCAAGACAGAGCUUUUUAUCCACCAUUCAAACUUCUAUAUGUAUUGAAAAUGCUGUCCAUAGAACAUCACUUUACCUACAGUGAAGUAUGGUGGUGGCAGCAACACUUAACAGGAGUGCCUUUGAACAUCAGAAUCUGAGAAUUUUGUUAGAUUUGUAGGAAAAAUUGAUGGAGGAAAACACAAUGCUAAAAAAGCUGAAGCUUGGGAGAAAGUUUCACAUUACAUUACAGCAGGGCACUGAUGAAAGGCAAUUUUAAAGUGGCUGAAAAACAAAAACUUUAAGAUCCAACAGUGGUCCAGCUAAAGACCUUAUUUAAAUAAUUUUGAAAUUCUGUGGCACUAUGUGAUAAUUGCAGUCCACAAGUGAUUCCCAUCCAACCUGAACCACUGG